CCUACGGGCGGCAGCAGUGGGGAAUAUUGGACAAUGGGCGAAAGCCUGAUCCAGCCAUGCCGCGUGUGUGAAGAAGGCCUUCGGGUUGUAAAGCACUUUCAGUGGGGAAGAAAGCCUUGGGGCUAAUACCCUCGAGGAAGGACAUCACCCACAGAAGAAGCACCGGCUAACUCCGUGCCAGCAGCCGCGGUAAUACGGAGGGUGCGAGCGUUAAUCGGAAUUACUGGGCGUAAAGCGCGCGUAGGCGGUCUGAUAAGCCGGUUGUGAAAGCCCCGGGCUCAACCUGGGAACGGCAUCCGGAACUGUCAGGCUAGAGUGCAUGAGAGGAAGGUAGAAUUCCCGGUGUAGCGGUGAAAUGCGUAGAGAUCGGGAGGAAUACCAGUGGCGGAGGCGGCCUUCUGGACUGACACUGACGCUGAGGUGCGAAAGCGUGGGUAGCAAACAGGAUUAGAUACCCGAGUAGUC
This 465-nucleotide ribosomal RNA is filed under the name Vreelandella stevensii. RNAcentral describes it as "partial 16S ribosomal RNA". It matches the Rfam family "Bacterial small subunit ribosomal RNA", at positions 338 to 795 of the family's 1533-position model. Lineage: Bacteria; Pseudomonadati; Pseudomonadota; Gammaproteobacteria; Oceanospirillales; Halomonadaceae. The record is from RNAcentral.